RNAcentral lists this ribosomal RNA (253 nucleotides) under uncultured bacterium. RNAcentral describes it as "partial 16S ribosomal RNA". It matches the Rfam family "Bacterial small subunit ribosomal RNA", at positions 524 to 776 of the family's 1533-position model. The record is from RNAcentral.
UACGUAGGGCGCAAGCGUUGUCCGGAAUUAUUGGGCGUAAAGGGCUCGUAGGCGGUUUGUCGCGUCGGGAGUGAAAUCCACUGGCUUAACUGGUGGCUUGCUUUCGAUACGGGCAGACUGGAGGCAUGCAGGGGAGAACGGAAUUCCUGGUGUAGCGGUGAAAUGCGCAGAUAUCAGGAGGAACACCGGUGGCGAAGGCGGUUCUCUGGGCAUGUCCUGACGCUGAGGAGCGAAAGUGUGGGGAUCAAACAGG